This 71-nucleotide transfer RNA is filed under the name Bacillus sp. UFRGS-B20. RNAcentral's name for it is "tRNA-Ser". It matches the Rfam family "tRNA". Rfam says of the family: Transfer RNA (tRNA) molecules are approximately 80 nucleotides in length. The record is from RNAcentral. Lineage: Bacteria; Bacillati; Bacillota; Bacilli; Caryophanales; Bacillaceae.
GGCUCGUAGCUCAUCGGUAGAGCAGAGGACUGAAAUCUCGUUCGGCGGUUCGAUUCCGUCCCGAACCACCA